Molecule: transfer RNA, 71 nt
Filed under: Marmota monax (woodchuck)
Lineage: Eukaryota; Metazoa; Chordata; Mammalia; Rodentia; Sciuridae
Description: tRNA.Ala
Rfam family: tRNA
About the family: Transfer RNA (tRNA) molecules are approximately 80 nucleotides in length. Their secondary structure includes four short double-helical elements and three loops (D, anti-codon, and T loops).
Source: RNAcentral
GGGGUUGUGGUUCAGUGGUAGAGCACUAGCCUCGCAUGCAUGAGGCCCUGAGUUUGAUCCUCAGCACCACA